Molecule: ribosomal RNA, 882 nt
Filed under: Lacticaseibacillus casei
Lineage: Bacteria; Bacillati; Bacillota; Bacilli; Lactobacillales; Lactobacillaceae
Description: bacterial SSU rRNA
Rfam family: Bacterial small subunit ribosomal RNA
Source: RNAcentral
UUCUCGUUGAUGAUCGGUGCUUGCACCGAGAUUCAACAUGGAACGAGUGGCGGACGGGUGAGUAACACGUGGGUAACCUGCCCUUAAGUGGGGGAUAACAUUUGGAAACAGAUGCUAAUACCGCAUAGAUCCAAGAACCGCAUGGUUCUUGGCUGAAAGAUGGCGUAAGCUAUCGCUUUUGGAUGGACCCGCGGCGUAUUAGCUAGUUGGUGAGGUAAUGGCUCACCAAGGCGAUGAUACGUAGCCGAACUGAGAGGUUGAUCGGCCACAUUGGGACUGAGACACGGCCCAAACUCCUACGGGAGGCAGCAGUAGGGAAUCUUCCACAAUGGACGCAAGUCUGAUGGAGCAACGCCGCGUGAGUGAAGAAGGCUUUCGGGUCGUAAAACUCUGUUGUUGGAGAAGAAUGGUCGGCAGAGUAACUGUUGCCGGCGUGACGGUAUCCAACCAGAAAGCCACGGCUAACUACGUGCCAGCAGCCGCGGUAAUACGUAGGUGGCAAGCGUUAUCCGGAUUUAUUGGGCGUAAAGCGAGCGCAGGCGGUUUUUUAAGUCUGAUGUGAAAGCCCUCGGCUUAACCGAGGAAGCGCAUCGGAAACUGGGAAACUUGAGUGCAGAAGAGGACAGUGGAACUCCAUGUGUAGCGGUGAAAUGCGUAGAUAUAUGGAAGAACACCAGUGGCGAAGGCGGCUGUCUGGUCUGUAACUGACGCUGAGGCUCGAAAGCAUGGGUAGCGAACAGGAUUAGAUACCCUGGUAGUCCAUGCCGUAAACGAUGAAUGCUAGGUGUUGGAGGGUUUCCGCCCUUCAGUGCCGCAGCUAACGCAUUAAGCAUUCCGCCUGGGGAGUACGACCGCAAGGUUGAAACUCAAAGGAAUUGACGG